Molecule: transfer RNA, 62 nt
Filed under: Helicella itala
Lineage: Eukaryota; Metazoa; Mollusca; Gastropoda; Stylommatophora; Geomitridae
Description: tRNA-Thr
Rfam family: tRNA
About the family: Transfer RNA (tRNA) molecules are approximately 80 nucleotides in length. Their secondary structure includes four short double-helical elements and three loops (D, anti-codon, and T loops).
Source: RNAcentral
GUAAGUGUAGCUUAUUUUAAAGCAUUGGUUUUGUAAACCAAAAAAGGAUUAACCCACUUACA